CCCCUCCCCUAAAUGCACAAUCCUAUAAUAUCAAUAUAUUCAUUUAAAUCAUUGUAGAAGGCAACAUACAUAAAAAUAAUAAGUGUCAGGUAUCUACAUUAUAUCCUUGAAAGAGUUCAACUAGAAUUCUUGAUAAGCAAUGAACAAUGAGUUAAUAUGUAUAACAACAAUACUAUAAUAUGAACAUGUAUAUAAAGAUGUAUUUUAUAAUGAAUUCUAGCACCAAGUUGUGCAUUUUUUUCUUUUU
Molecule: long non-coding RNA, 247 nt
Filed under: Mytilus galloprovincialis (Mediterranean mussel)
Lineage: Eukaryota; Metazoa; Mollusca; Bivalvia; Mytilida; Mytilidae
Source: RNAcentral